UUCCCAACCCAGGGAUCAAACCUAGGUCUUUUGAAUUACAGGCAGAUUCUUUACCAUCUGAGCCACCAGGGA
RNAcentral lists this transfer RNA (72 nucleotides) under Haemonchus contortus (barber pole worm). RNAcentral describes it as "tRNA, Pseudo". The record is from RNAcentral. Lineage: Eukaryota; Metazoa; Nematoda; Chromadorea; Rhabditida; Trichostrongylidae.